Molecule: ribosomal RNA, 424 nt
Filed under: uncultured Planctomycetaceae bacterium
Lineage: Bacteria; Pseudomonadati; Planctomycetota; Planctomycetia; Planctomycetales; Planctomycetaceae
Description: partial 16S ribosomal RNA
Rfam family: Bacterial small subunit ribosomal RNA
Source: RNAcentral
UCGAGAAUCUUCGGCAAUGGACGAAAGUCUGACCGAGCGACGCCGCGUGCGGGAUGAAGGCCUUCGGGUUGUAAACCGCUGUCAAGUUGGAGGAAAUGUUAGGGAGCUAUCUCCCUAGUUUGACCAAUAGCAAAAGGAAGGACGGGCUAAGUUCGUGCCAGCAGCCGCGGUAAUACGAACCGUCCAAACAUUAUUCGGAAUCACUGGGCUUAAAGGGUGCGUAGGCGGUCUUGUAAGUUAGAUGUGAAAUCCCUCGGCUCAACCGAGGAACUGCGUUUAAUACUGCAAGGCUUGAGGAAGAUAGAGGUAAACGGAACAGAUGGUGGAGCGGUGAAAUGCGUUGAUAUUAUCUGGAACACCUGUUGCGAAAGCGGUUUACUGGGUCUUUUCUGACGCUGAGGCACGAAAGCUAGGGGAGCGAACG